Molecule: ribosomal RNA, 584 nt
Filed under: uncultured bacterium
Lineage: Bacteria
Description: bacterial SSU rRNA
Rfam family: Bacterial small subunit ribosomal RNA
Source: RNAcentral
CCUUCAGGUGGGGAAUAACCCAGUGAAAACUGGGCUAAUACCGCAUAACAUGACGAUGGCAUAUGCUGUUGUCUUCAAAGGCGCAAGUCGCCAGAAAGAGGGAUCCGCGGCCGAUUAGCUUGUUGGCGAGGUAAUGGCUCACCAAGGCAUUGAUCGGUAGCCGGACUGAGAGGUUGGCCGGCCACACUGGAACUGAGACACGGUCCAGACUCCUACGGGAGGCAGCAGUGGGGAAUCUUGCACAAUGGACGAAAGUCUGAUGCAGCAACGCCGCGUGGGGGAUGAAGCUUUUCGGAGUGUAAACCCCUUUCGACCCGGAAGAAUGCCCGCAAGGGUUUGACGGUACGGGUAUAAGAAGCCCCGGUAACUACGUGCCAGCAGCCGCGGUAAUACGUAGGGGCCAGCGUUGCUCGGAAUUACUGGGCGUAAAGGGUCUGUAGGCGGUGCGGCAAGUCGAUAGUGAAAUCCCUAGGCUUAACCUAGGGGCUGUUAGCGAAAUUGCCGUGCUAAAGUGUGAGAGAGGCGAUGGAAUUACGGGUGUAGCGGUGAAAUGGUAGAUAUCCGAGGGAACCAUCCCGAGGGAA